RNAcentral lists this microRNA precursor (65 nucleotides) under Fukomys damarensis (Damara mole-rat). RNAcentral's name for it is "miRNA (ENSFDAG00000001711.1)". It matches the Rfam family "mir-184 microRNA precursor family", at positions 13 to 79 of the family's 86-position model. The record is from RNAcentral. Lineage: Eukaryota; Metazoa; Chordata; Mammalia; Rodentia; Bathyergidae.
CCUUAUCACUUUUCCGGCCCAGCUUUGUGACUGUCCGUGUUGGACGGAGAACUGAUAAGGGUGGG